AACGCCCUGAACUUAAGCAUAUCAGUAAGGGCAGGAAAAGAAACCAACUGGGAUUCCACUAGUAGCGGCGAGUGAACAUGGAUGAGCUCUAAUGGUAAAGUGCAAGCACUGUUGUAAGAGCACUGCUAGCUAGAUCUGCUGGAAUGCAGAGCACAUGCGGGUGACAGCCCCGGACAGCAACAGCAGUGCGGUAGAGCGAGUA
RNAcentral lists this ribosomal RNA (202 nucleotides) under Paranucleospora theridion. RNAcentral describes it as "partial 23S large subunit ribosomal RNA". It matches the Rfam family "Bacterial large subunit ribosomal RNA", at positions 181 to 414 of the family's 2925-position model. Lineage: Eukaryota; Fungi; Microsporidia; Enterocytozoonidae. The record is from RNAcentral.